AGUGUAGGCGGCCAGGUAGGUGGGUUGUGAAAACUGGAGGCUCAACCUUCAGACGUCGACCCAAACCCCCUGGCUAGAGUCCGGAAGAGGAGAGUGGAAUUCCUGGUGUAGCGGUGAAAUGCGCAGAUAUCAGGAAGAACACCCGUGGCGAAGGCGGCUCUCUGGGACGGUACUGACGCUGAGACGCGAAAGCGUGGGGAGCGAACA
Molecule: ribosomal RNA, 207 nt
Filed under: uncultured bacterium
Lineage: Bacteria
Description: partial 16S ribosomal RNA
Rfam family: Bacterial small subunit ribosomal RNA
Source: RNAcentral